RNAcentral lists this ribosomal RNA (258 nucleotides) under uncultured bacterium. RNAcentral describes it as "partial 16S ribosomal RNA". It matches the Rfam family "Bacterial small subunit ribosomal RNA", at positions 96 to 354 of the family's 1533-position model. The record is from RNAcentral.
UGGCGGACGGGUGAGUAACGCGUGGAAAACCUGCCGUAUACUGGGGGAUAACACUUAGAAAUAGGUGCUAAUACCGCAUAAGCGCACAGCUUCGCAUGAAGCGGUGUGAAAAACUCUGGUGGUAUACGAUGGUUCCGCGUCUGAUUAGCUAGUUGGUGGGGUAAUGGCCUACCAAGGCAACGAUCAGUAGCCGGCCUGAGAGGGUGAACGGCCACAUUGGGACUGAGACACGGCCCAAACCCCUACGGGAGGCAGCAG